CUGAUUGAACUAGGGCGUGGCUUAUACCCCUGCUGUCCCUGGAACGAGGUUCCCAUGGUGCAUCAUGUGGGUGCAAGUGCGGUCACAGUACGGUAGAGACCGGGACUGUGGAGCAUUGCAUGCCAAGGGAAGUUUGGACCUGACACGCGCCUGGGAAUUGAUGGGGACGGCCGACACGGGAAGCGACCCUUGUGGUGCGCGGAUGUCGUGAGAUUAGGUUCGCCAUGCAUGGUUAAGAAACCCGAAUCGAUUUGUCUGCCUCUCACAGUUUGAGACUGCUUGAUCGCUAUGUCACCCUGAGUAAUAAAGGAAUC
RNAcentral lists this long non-coding RNA (314 nucleotides) under Setaria italica (foxtail millet). RNAcentral describes it as "long non-coding RNA (SITA_LNC005024)". The record is from RNAcentral. Lineage: Eukaryota; Viridiplantae; Streptophyta; Magnoliopsida; Poales; Poaceae.